This 359-nucleotide long non-coding RNA is filed under the name Hordeum vulgare. RNAcentral's name for it is "long non-coding RNA (HVUL_LNC007303)". Lineage: Eukaryota; Viridiplantae; Streptophyta; Magnoliopsida; Poales; Poaceae. The record is from RNAcentral.
UCAUAUCUUCUUUCAUUGCAUCCAAGAAAUGGAAAUGAACCCAGAGGAAGUGAUGAAAACCAAAGCAAAAACCCAAGCCACCUUUUAUUCAAAAGAUUUCCAACAAGUGCCAAAUCAAUGAACCCAAAAUGGCCAUUAGAAAAGUUCAUCUUUUGUGAUAAAUAUAGAAAACAAGAUAUUAGAGAUGAAACUUAUUUUCAAACUACUUUUGGCAUUUUAAAUUUAAGUUAAAAGGUACUCAAAUCAACUAUAUAAUUAAUUUCAAAUAAUGUAAAGUUUCCAAAAAUGUUGAAAACUUUAUGAGUGGUUGGAAAUAUUCCAACUAACACUCUAGUAUUUUUCAAACUAUUUUAGGAAUA